Oncorhynchus nerka (sockeye salmon) is the source of this 447-nucleotide long non-coding RNA. RefSeq lists it as uncharacterized. The record is from RefSeq and is a predicted model, not a curated record. The transcript is spliced from 2 exons. Lineage: Eukaryota; Metazoa; Chordata; Actinopteri; Salmoniformes; Salmonidae.
UUUAUUUUAAUGAACUACUAAUUUUUUUGUCAGACAGCAGCUCUACACUUUAUUGACUGACUGAUCCAUUCAUCCUUCCAACCCUCCUCAGCCUUCCUCUCCUCUGAAGACCCAGUGAGGGUGGAGCUCAGUCAGAGAGCUGUUGAGGGACUGGUUAGGAAGAACACUUCUACAGCCAGAGAGGGGCAGUCAAGAAAUGGAACAGCAAGGCCACAGAACAUGACAUAAGCAGAGCUGUGGGAGACCACCUCAAGCCCCUGGUAGAGCAGGGGGUGGUGUUUACCACUCCACCACACCUUCAGCAGGCUGGAAAAUUAACCCUGAUAUUUUAAAAGCAGGGCAACAACGUCAAUAUAAUUGUACCCAAAAAUUGUCAGUUGGUUGCAUAAAUAAUUAUGAUUACUAAAUGUUACAUGAAAUGUAAAUAUUAAAUAUUCGGUUACAGUC